UACAGAGGGGGCAAGCGUUGUUCGGAAUUACUGGGCGUAAAGGGCGCGUAGGCGGCCUGCUAAGUCGAACGUGAAAUCCCCGGGCUCAACCCGGGAACUGCGUCCGAUACUGGCAGGCCUGAAUCCGGGAGAGGGAUGUGGAAUUCCAGGUGUAGCGGUGAAAUGCGUAGAUAUCUGGAGGAACACCGGUGGCGAAGGCGACAUCCUGGACCGGUAUUGACGCUGAGGCGCGAAAGCCAGGGGAGCAAACGGG
RNAcentral lists this ribosomal RNA (253 nucleotides) under uncultured bacterium. RNAcentral describes it as "partial 16S ribosomal RNA". It matches the Rfam family "Bacterial small subunit ribosomal RNA", at positions 524 to 776 of the family's 1533-position model. The record is from RNAcentral.